This 493-nucleotide ribosomal RNA is filed under the name uncultured bacterium. RNAcentral's name for it is "bacterial SSU rRNA". It matches the Rfam family "Bacterial small subunit ribosomal RNA", at positions 35 to 507 of the family's 1533-position model. The record is from RNAcentral.
ACGAACGGCUGGCGGCGUGCCUAAUACAUGCAAGUCGAGCGGGGAUUAUGCUUGAUCGCUUCGGUGAGACGGCAUAUAUCCUAGCGGCGGACGGGUGAGUAACGCGUGGGUAAUCUACCUCGUAGUUCGGGAUAACAGGCCGAAAGGCUUGCUAAUACCGGAUGAGUUCAUGCUUAUGCAUAUAGGCAUGAAGAAAGGGCUAGCCCGCUAUGAGAUGAGCCCGCGUCCCAUUAGCUUGUUGGUGGGGUAAUGGCCUACCAAGGCUUCGACGGGUAGCCGGCCUGAGAGGGUGACCGGCCACACUGGGACUGAGACACGGCCCAGACUCCUACGGGAGGCAGCAGUGGGGAAUAUUGGACAAUGGGCGGAAGCCUGAUCCAGCAACGCCGCGUGAGGGAUGACGGCCUUCGGGUUGUAAACCUCUUUCAGUACCGACGAAGCGCCGAUGAUGGUGGUGACGGUAGGUACAGAAGAAGCACCGGCCAACUACGUG